Molecule: microRNA, 21 nt
Filed under: Ornithorhynchus anatinus (platypus)
Lineage: Eukaryota; Metazoa; Chordata; Mammalia; Monotremata; Ornithorhynchidae
Description: oan-miR-1422n-5p
Source: miRBase by way of RNAcentral
CCUUCAAGGCAAAGGUUUUCU